GAAUCUUCCGCAAUGGACGCAAGUCUGACGGAGCGACGCCGCGUGAGUGAUGAAGGUCUUCGGAUCGUAAAACUCUGUUGUAAGGGAAGAACAGGUGUUAGUCGAAUAGGCUAACAUUUUGACGGUACCUUACGAGAAAGCCCCGGCUAACUACGUGCCAGCAGCCGCGGUAAUACGUAGGGGGCGAGCGUUGUCCGGAAUUAUUGGGCGUAAAGGGCGCGCAGGCGGUCUUUUAAGUCUGAUGUGAAAGCUUGUGGCUUAACCGCAAGAGGCCAUUGGAAACUGGAAGACUUGAGUGCAGAAGAGGAGAGUGGAAUUCCACGUGUAGCGGUGAAAUGCGUAGAGAUGUGGAGGAACACCAGUGGCGAAAGCGACUCUCUGGUCUGCAACAGACGCUGAGGCGCGAAAGCAUGGGGAGCAAAC
Molecule: ribosomal RNA, 423 nt
Filed under: uncultured bacterium
Lineage: Bacteria
Description: bacterial SSU rRNA
Rfam family: Bacterial small subunit ribosomal RNA
Source: RNAcentral